This is a long non-coding RNA of Homo sapiens (human), 539 nucleotides long. Ensembl annotates it as SOS1 intronic transcript 1. Its record names the gene SOS1-IT1. Lineage: Eukaryota; Metazoa; Chordata; Mammalia; Primates; Hominidae. The record is from Ensembl.
CCUUACCGUUGGCUAUCUUAGCUCGAUGUGCUAAUCAAGUUCCCCCUAAUUUGACAUACUAGAAUCUAAUACUAGAGGCAGCAUGACAUUAUUAUGGGGGAGGAGGUUGAGAAGCACUAACCUCGAAGUUAGAAUUUCUGGUUUGUCAUCCCAGUCUGCUAAUUAGCUUUCUGAUUUAAGACAAAAUACUUUUUCUGUGCCUUCUGGGGGUCAAAUUCGAUUUUUAAGAUUCUCUCAGUUGGAAGAAAUCUAACUAAAAAUAUACUUAAAAUAAUUCUUUGGUAGUAUAUUAUUUUGAAAUUUGGUCCAGAAUCCUAUUUGUUUAUUCCUGUAGUAUACAUACGUCUGUAGUUACCCAGUAGUCUUUGUUGUCUUUGGGCCAUCUAAAGUAUAUUUGGGCUGGGCAUGGUGUCUCACACCUGUAAUUUCAACACUUUGGAAGGCCAAGAUAGGGUCUCGCUGUGUUGCCAAGGCUGAUCUCAAACUUCUGGCCUCAAACAAACCUCCUGCCUUAACCUUCCAAAGUGCUGGGGUUAUAG